AAGUUGUAACAAGGUCUCUGUUAGUGAACUAGCGGAGGGAUCAUUAUAGAGUUGCAAAACUCCUAUCACCAUUGCGAACUUACCUUACAACCGUUGCUUUGGCAGGCGGCCCUAGGCUUCUGCUUUCCUAGAUCCUUAGGGCCCUAUAGCCUGAUUGUCAGGUGCCUGCCAGAGGUCAUGCAACUAGACAUUGUUUAUAGCCUAUUAGAAUUUGUACUACCAAUUAGUUAAAACUUUCAACAACAGAUCUCUUGGUUCUA
Molecule: unclassified non-coding RNA, 260 nt
Filed under: fungal sp.
Lineage: Eukaryota; Fungi
Description: partial internal transcribed spacer region
Source: RNAcentral